This 64-nucleotide transfer RNA is filed under the name Homarus americanus (American lobster). RNAcentral describes it as "tRNA-Ile". Lineage: Eukaryota; Metazoa; Arthropoda; Malacostraca; Decapoda; Nephropidae. The record is from RNAcentral.
AAUAUGAUGCCUGAAAAAGGGCUGUCUUGAUAGGACAGAUUAUGUAAUUUUUUUACUCAUGUUA